AAUGGGGCACAUCUGGAUUGUCCUUAACCUGGAAUGAACUCGGGCACUGGGCAGAAAGUACGAGCCUGGAGGUUCCCGCUGUUGGCUUGGCUGGGCCAGGCGGGUUGUGCUGUUCCCGGUCGGCCGCUCGGAGGGAAGCCCUCUGUCCUAGGAGUGGGGGCUCUCUGGUUUGGAUGUCAGCAGCUUUUUAUUGAUGAAGAACCACUUGUUAUCACCAAUGUGCACAUGAAAUGGAAAGGGAACAGAUUCUGGAAAACAACUUCUGUUACAGCCUUGCAAGAUACUACCUGAAGUGUGUAAAGAAGUUUAAGUGACUGCUCUGCUUGAUCAAAAUGGUGGACACUGAAAACCAGCUCUAUCCCCUUACUCCCUUGGAGGAGGAGGAUAUAGACAGCCCUUUGUCUGGAGAGUUCCUACAAGAUAUGGAGAACAUUCAAGACCUCUCCCAGUCUCUAGGUGAUGAUAGUUCUGGUGCUUUAAGCUUAACAGAGUUCCAGUCACUGGGAAAUGGUCCAGGAUCUGAUGGCUCAGUCAUAACAGACACCCUUUCACCAGCAUCCAGUCCUUCAUCCAUUAAUUUUGCCACAGCUCCAGGUAGCAUAGAUGAAUCAUCCAGUGGAGCAUUAAACAUUGAAUGUAGAAUUUGUGGGGAUAAAGCCUCAGGCUACCAUUAUGGAGUACAUGCUUGUGAAGGCUGUAAGGGCUUUUUUAGAAGAACAAUUCGUUUAAAACUCGUCUAUGAUAAAUGUGAUCGCAACUGCAAAAUUCAGAAAAAAAACCGUAAUAAGUGCCAGUACUGUCGUUUUCAAAAGUGCCUUUCAGUUGGAAUGUCACAUAAUGCAAUACGUUUUGGAAGAAUGCCAAGGUCUGAGAAGGCCAAGCUGAAAGCAGAAAUUCUAACAGGUGAAAAUUACGUAGAAGAUUCAGAAAUGGCAGAUCUUAAAUCACUUGCCAAAAGAAUUCAUGAUGCUUACCUGAAAAACUUCAAUAUGAACAAGGUUAAAGCCAGAAUCAUCCUUGCAGGGAAAACCAAUAACAAUCCGCCAUUUGUUAUCCAUGAUAUGGAUACCUUAUGUAUGGCAGAGAAGACCCUGGUGGCAAAAUUGGUAGCCAAUGGGAUUCAGAACAAGGAAGCAGAAGUUCGAAUCUUCCACUGCUGCCAGUGCACGUCUGUAGAGACCGUCACCGAACUCACUGAGUUUGCCAAAUCCAUCCCUGGCUUCUCCAGCCUGGACUUGAACGAUCAAGUGACGCUAUUAAAAUACGGGGUUUAUGAGGCCAUAUUUGCCAUGUUGGCCUCUGUGAUGAACAAGGACGGGAUGCUGGUGGCCUAUGGGAAUGGUUUUAUAACCCGGGAGUUCCUGAAAAGCCUGAGAAAGCCAUUCUGUGAUAUAAUGGAGCCAAAAUUUGAUUUUGCAAUGAAAUUCAAUGCACUGGAUUUGGAUGACAGCGAUAUAUCCCUUUUUGUUGCUGCCAUCAUUUGCUGUGGAGAUCGUCCCGGUCUCGUAAAUGUAGGACACAUUGAAAAAAUGCAGGAGAGCAUUGUGCACGUACUGAAACUUCACUUGCAGACCAACCAUCCUGAUGACACCUUCCUCUUCCCAAAACUUCUCCAGAAAAUGGCUGACCUCCGACAGCUUGUCACAGAGCACGCUCAGCUCGUUCAGAUAAUCAAGAAGACUGAAUCUGAUGCACAUUUACACCCUUUACUACAGGAAAUCUACAGGGAUAUGUAUUAAGGAUUUUUAGUAUUUUUUUCACAAUAUUUAAAGACACAGAAAUACAGAUGGGAGCAAAACUACUUGCACAGUCACGUGCUGUUCACUCAGCCCAGAGCAGGAAAAAUCUAAGACUGGGGAACUGGAGUGUUACACUUCUUUUGGUUUGGGAUCUUUUGCCUUCUUUUGAAAGAGUUCUGCAAAAAAGUUCUGGUCAGAGUGCUCAAUGAAGUGUCUUACAAUGGUUCUUUUAUUUGGAAAUUUGAAGAUUGGCCUUGUUGAUAGAAGUAUUCGCUCCGUUGUUUUGUCCUCGGGGAUAAGGUGACAAUAUUACCAAGAACAGUGUCUGUAGGUGUCGGACUGUGUAAUAAUAGGAAAGACAGCACAGUUGAGAGUAAGUCUAUCGUGUUCCUAAGAUAAACUCUGAUUUUUACAAUUGCACCUUACUCCUGAUACAAAAUAAGCCAUAAGGAAAUGUCCUCAUUUCUUUAAGGGCUCUUUCCUCAGACAGUACUGCCCAGAAGUGACAGCUACGUGCAAGGCACUGCUAUUUCUGUUCCUUUUUGUUUCUUUAAUAUGGUAACUGCACAUUAUUAUUUCCUAAUUUUACUUUCUGUUUCAUAGCACCAAGGUCUCAGGAGUCAACCUGAGCAUUUUCACUACAGCUGAGCUUUCAGUGGCACAGGAGGACACUUUGUAUUUGUUUAAUUGUACACAUUUGGAGACACCAGAGUCUUCCCUGCAAGAACUGAGUGAGAUUGAUGAAGUGAGAACAUCCCAGUGUGAUCCUUAUCUCAGUGGCAAUGCUUGUUUCUGUCCAGGCCUAUGGACACUGGAUAAAUUACAGGUUUAAAGGCAACUUGGGGUUUAUCUGGGAGAGGGUCAUGAGCAGAGGCUUUAGUGUCAGGUAUAUUUAGUGUAAAAUACUGAAGCAUAGGCCUCAAAUUCUGUGACCAUCUAGGGCAGGAUAGGAAGAGUAAAUGCAUGUGCACAAAACUUCCUCCCCUUGGCUGUUGCCAACCAGCAGCAGGAAGAACAGGCCCCAGACACUCCAUCGAGAGGCCGUUGGCCUUGCCAGGAACCCGUGGAUGGGAAAAGGGCUGCCCUUUGUGUCUCAGAGCAGCAGGCAGAGUGCCCUCAGACACACAGACAGGAUUUCAGCUAAGCUGCUGCUUCAUCCUCCCAGUCAGCCUCGUGGCACUGAGGAGCUAUGGGCUCUAGGCCUACAGCAUCCUGCGUGGAAAGAAUUGAUACACAAUAUUGCUACUGCAAAAAAUUGUCAAAAUAUCAGCCCUUCUGGGCUGGCAUACUGAAACUCUAGCAGCCAG
RNA transcript from Manacus vitellinus (golden-collared manakin), 3046 nucleotides. It is a transcript of the gene named peroxisome proliferator activated receptor alpha, with no coding region annotated. The record is from RefSeq and is a predicted model, not a curated record. The transcript is spliced from 9 exons. NCBI's taxonomy places the organism in Eukaryota, Metazoa, Chordata, Aves, Passeriformes, Pipridae.